RNAcentral lists this transfer RNA (69 nucleotides) under Bos taurus (domestic cattle). It matches the Rfam family "tRNA". From Rfam's summary of the family: Transfer RNA (tRNA) molecules are approximately 80 nucleotides in length. RNAcentral also lists the same sequence under 5 other names. Lineage: Eukaryota; Metazoa; Chordata; Mammalia; Artiodactyla; Bovidae. The record is from Rfam by way of RNAcentral.
CCUGGUGGCUCAAACGAUAAAGCGUCUGCCUACAAUGCAGAUGACCCAGGUUCAAUCCCUGGGUCAGGA